RNAcentral lists this non-coding RNA (26 nucleotides) under Cricetulus griseus (Chinese hamster). Lineage: Eukaryota; Metazoa; Chordata; Mammalia; Rodentia; Cricetidae. The record is from RNAcentral.
CACUAUCACUAGGGAAUAGAAAAGGA